RNAcentral lists this ribosomal RNA (253 nucleotides) under uncultured bacterium. RNAcentral's name for it is "partial 16S ribosomal RNA". It matches the Rfam family "Bacterial small subunit ribosomal RNA", at positions 524 to 776 of the family's 1533-position model. The record is from RNAcentral.
UACAUGUGGGGCAAGCGUUGUUCGGAAUUACUGGGCCUAAAGGGUGCGUAGGCGGCUUGCUAAGUCAGUGGUGAAAUCGUCCGGCCCAACCGGACACGUGCCAAUGAUACUGGUGAGCUAGAGUGCGUGAGGGGUAGGGGGAACGAGCAGUGUAGCGGUGAAAUGCGUAGAUAUUGCUCGGAAGGCCAAAGCCGAAGGGACCCUACUGGUGCGCAACUGACGCUGAGGCACGAAAGCGUGGGGAGCAAACAGG